ACUCCUACGGGAGGCAGCAGUAGGGAAUAUUGCACAAUGGGGGAAACCCUGAUGCAGCAAUGCCACGUGAGCGAGGAAGGUCUUCGGAUUGUAAAGCUCUGUCCUAUAGGAAGAAUGGUAUUAUGGUUAAUACCAUAGUAUUUGACGGUACUAUAGAAGAAAGCACCGGCUAACUCCGUGCCAGCAGCCGCGGUAAUACGGAGGGUGCAAGCGUUGUUCGGAUUUACUGGGCGUAAAGCGCGCGCAGGCGGAUAAGCAAGUCAGAUGUGAAAUCUCGGGGCUCAACCCCGAAACUGCGUCUGAAACUGUUUAUCUAGAGUCUCAUAGGGGGUAGGGGAAUUUCACGUGUAGGGGUAAAAUCCGUAGAGAUGUGAAGGAACACCGGUGGCGAAGGCGCCUACCUGGAUGAGUACUGACGCUGAGGCGCGAAAGCGUGGGGAGCAAACAGGAUUAGAUACCCUGGUAGGAUAGCGU
RNAcentral lists this ribosomal RNA (474 nucleotides) under uncultured bacterium. Its description in RNAcentral is "bacterial SSU rRNA". It matches the Rfam family "Bacterial small subunit ribosomal RNA", at positions 335 to 800 of the family's 1533-position model. The record is from RNAcentral.